AACGAACGCUGGCGGCAGGCCUAACACAUGCAAGUCGAACGCUCGUAGCAAUACGAGAGUGGCAGACGGGUGAGUAACACGUGGGAACCUUCCCUAUGGUUCGGAAUAGCUCAGGGAAACUUGGGGUAAUACCGGAUAAGCCCUUCGGGGAAAGGAUUUAUCGCCAUUGGAUGGGCCCGCGUCGGAUUAGCUAGUUGGUGAGGUAACGGCUCACCAAGGCAACGAUCCGUAGCUGGUCUGAGAGGAUGAUCAGCCACACUGGGACUGAGACACGGCCCAGACUCCUACGGGAGGCAGCAGUGGGGAAUAUUGGACAAUGGGCGCAAGCCUGAUCCAGCCAUGCCGCGUGAGUGGCGAAGGUCUUCGGAUUGUAAACUCUUUUGGCGGGACGAUAAUGACGGUACCCGCAGAAUAAGCCCCGGCUAACUUCGUGCCAGCCGCCGCGGUAAC
This 450-nucleotide ribosomal RNA is filed under the name uncultured bacterium. Its description in RNAcentral is "bacterial SSU rRNA". It matches the Rfam family "Bacterial small subunit ribosomal RNA", at positions 29 to 524 of the family's 1533-position model. The record is from RNAcentral.